RNAcentral lists this long non-coding RNA (229 nucleotides) under Monodelphis domestica (gray short-tailed opossum). RNAcentral describes it as "lncRNA (ENSMODG00000034630.2)". The record is from RNAcentral. Lineage: Eukaryota; Metazoa; Chordata; Mammalia; Didelphimorphia; Didelphidae.
GUGAUGGGCAGAUUAUAAACCCCAAAAGACCUUCAGAUUAGGCAGAAGAAUAGAUGACUACUUCAAACAAUUGGAGCCAUUUAGCCAAGCGGGAUUCUUGUCCAAACAUAUUUUAUCAUAGCUAUUCUGAAAAGAAAAUCACCUGGAAAACACAAGCCCUGAAAAUCAAUUGAUUGAUUUAUCACUUUUAGAAACAUAAGGCAUGUAAAUAAAUCCCCACAGAUGAGCA